Molecule: long non-coding RNA, 763 nt
Organism: Oncorhynchus keta (chum salmon)
Lineage: Eukaryota; Metazoa; Chordata; Actinopteri; Salmoniformes; Salmonidae
Exons: 5
Source: RefSeq, a predicted model, not a curated record
UUAAAGAUGAAGGGGAGGAGACAGGUUCAAGAUGAAGGGGAGGAGACAGGUUAAAGAUGAAGGGGAGGAGACAGGUUAAAGAUGAAGGGGAGGAGACAGGUUAAAGAUGAAGGGGAGGAGACAGGUUAAAGAUGAAGGGGAGGAGACAGGUUCAAGAUGAAGGGGAGGAGACAGGUUAAAGAUGAAGGGGAGGAGACAGGUUCAAGAUGAAGGGGAGGAGACAGGUUCAAGAUGAAGGGGAGGAGACUGGUUCAAGAUGAAGGGGAGGAGACAGGUUCAAGAUGAAGGGGAGGAGACUGGUUAAAGAUGAAGGGGAGGAGACUGGUUCAAGAUGAAGGGGAGGAGACUGGUUAAAGAUGAAGGGGAGGAGACAGGUUAAAGAUGAAGGGGAGGAGACAGGUUAAAGAUGAAGGGGAGGAGACAGGUUAAAGAUGAAGGGGAGGAGACAGGUUAAAGAUGAAGGGGAGGAGACAGGUUAAAGAUGAAGGGGAGGAGACAGGUUAAAGAUGAAGGGGAGGAGACAGGUUAAAGACCCCCUUUCUAAAGUUUGUUUUUAUUGAAGAACUCAGACGCAAAACAUUCUGCCCUGUUAUUUCCCUUCAGAAUGUGUUUACCCAAGUAUAGAGGCAGGCAGCCUAGUGGUUAGAGUAUAGAGGAGGCAGGUAGCCUAGUGGUUAGAGUGUAGAGGCAGGCAGCCUAGUGGUUAGAGUGUAGAGGAGGCAGGUAGCCUAGUGGUUAGAGUGUAGAGGCAGGCAGCCUAGUG